This 200-nucleotide unclassified non-coding RNA is filed under the name soil metagenome. RNAcentral's name for it is "partial contains internal transcribed spacer 2 and large subunit ribosomal RNA". The record is from RNAcentral.
UCAACCAUUAGGGUUUCUUAAUGGCUUGGAAUUGGGUGUUGCCAGUCGCCUGGCUCGCCUUAAAAGAGUUAGCGUGUUUAACUUGUCUAUCUGGCGUAAUAAGUUUCGCUGGUGUCGGCUUGAGAAGUACGCUUCUAAUCGUCUUCGGACAAUUCUUGAACUCUGGUCUCAAAUCAGGUAGGGCUACCCGCUGAACUUAA